This 253-nucleotide ribosomal RNA is filed under the name uncultured bacterium. RNAcentral's name for it is "partial 16S ribosomal RNA". It matches the Rfam family "Bacterial small subunit ribosomal RNA", at positions 524 to 776 of the family's 1533-position model. The record is from RNAcentral.
UACGAAGGGGGCUAGCGUUGCUCGGAAUUACUGGGCGUAAAGCGCACGUAGGCGGUCUUUUAAGUCGGUGGUGAAAUCCUGGAGCUCAACUCCAGAACUGCCUUCGAUACUGGAAGACUUGAGUCCGGGAGAGGUGAGUGGAACUGCGAGUGUAGAGGUGAAAUUCGUAGAUAUUCGCAAGAACACCAGUGGCGAAGGCGGCUCACUGGCCCGGUACUGACGCUCAGGUGCGAAAGCCAGGGGAGCGAACGGG